Molecule: long non-coding RNA, 2887 nt
Filed under: Panax ginseng (ginseng)
Lineage: Eukaryota; Viridiplantae; Streptophyta; Magnoliopsida; Apiales; Araliaceae
Description: long non-coding RNA (PGIN_LNC016994)
Source: RNAcentral
UGACAUUUUGGGCUCUCUGUUCCAAAAAUUGAGUUUACCGGACACUAAUAACAUGCACCAUGGCCAUGAGUGGUCCUCCAUACUCAUUGAUUAGCGCCCAUCAUUCUUCCUUUUGUACUUGUUGCUGGACCUCAAACUAUUCAAAACUCUAUCAACUUUAUUCUUUCUAGUUACUACUAUAAAGCAAGUUUACUUCCAAUGCCAGUUUGUCCACUCAUGUAAUGUAAUAGCACAAUUCACUUUUAGCCUACUUAAAAAUUAGCUACCAAGCGUCUCUGUUCGCAUGAGUCCAAAUCUCCUGGCCCAUGUCAUGUCAUAUAUUAUGGUCACGUCACGUGUGAUUUAAUUUCUUAUUUUCUGGUCUUUUGAUAAGGGGUAAUGCUACACAGACAAGUUAAUUGGACAGGUGAAAUUUUUUUUUUUUUNNNNNNNNNNNNNNNNNNNNNNNNNNNNNNNNNNNNNNNNNNNNNNNNNNNNNNNNNNNNNNNNNNNNNNNNNNNNNNNNNNNNNNNNNNNNNNNNNNNNUAGUAUUUAUUUUAACAGAAAUUUUUACAAAAUAUAGUAUUUUAGGUAUAAUUUGGAUACAUAUACAUAUACAGACUGUAUAACCCUGUUUUUGUAUAUGUAUUCAAAUUACACCUAAAACACUAUAUUUUGUAAAAAUUUCUGUUAGAAUAAAUGCUAUACAUUUUUUGGGAGUCGCAACCAAAAAAAACAAACAAACUGAAAAUGUCCAAUAUUCAUGUCUAAAAAACUGGUCUGUGUAGACUUAUUCUUUGAUAAGAUUUAAUUGAACAAACUAACAAAGUUGCUAGGUAAAAUUUUAGAGAGUAUGAAAUAUGGUUCUGACACUUCAGUAUUAAUCAAUAAUUGGGGUUUGAAUAGAUUAUUAUUGAUUUUAAAAUUUCUAGUCUUUUUGAAAUAUUUAAAUUCACUUAAUUACUAUGUGAUAAAAUAAUAUGAAUAAGUAAAGAGACAUAAUUCAUUUAUACAAUGCUCAUAGAUUUAACUAGUUUACAAUAUUAUGUUGCUACAUUCAGUCACAAGCUCUCUUCUGGAUUUGAAAUCUUAAUACUAUCAGUAAUAAAUACUACUUCAACAUGCAUAGAAGCAUCUUAUUACAAAGGUUUUUUAGAGAAAACUUUCAAAAGUAUUCCUAAAACUAAUUUUUUUAGACAGUAACUCCCCGCUGCUUCCUCAAAUGUAGUUGUACGUGUUUCCUGGAAUUCAAUUCUAUCUUAAGAUUUGGUCUUGAAAUAGAAGUCAAUCCCUCACCUCACUUGACAAGCAUGCUAAAGACCCAACUACCCGUUGACCAGCAUAAAAUAAACUAACUCUCCAAAAAUUCCUUUUUCGAUAAAAAGUUGUUUGUUUGAAGUAUGUUUCACAUAAGCAUACAUAUUAUUCAUGUUCAUUUUAUAAUAGUUCAAAACUUUUAUAAAUAAAGAAUGUGCUUUUAAAUUAAGCAGAUUUAGAUGUUUGAUUUAAUUAUAUAAAAGCUUAUUUUCUUCUAUAUGAGAGAUAAAAAUGCUUUCUUUAAAAGCAGAUAAAAAACAAUUAUAUUUGAGUAUAACACAAGUAUAUAUGAAUGAGCAAUUUAGAAUUAUACUUGCAGUAUCAAGUAUGAAUGAGCUAAGUCAAUUUAAUAAUACUUGACACAAACAUAUAAUCACAAACAAUGUUAUUGUAUUCCAGAAAUAUAUAUGAUUAUAUAUUUUAUUUAUGAAGUGAAGAUUCAAUUCAACCACAGAGACAUUUGAUACACUAAGUUCUUUUUUGUUCAAUAUUUCAUGAACAAAAUAUGCUCUUUUGGUAUCGUAAUGGCAGUUCGCCGAAUUCAAUAUUUUCCAACUAUAUUUAUAUAAAUAUUUUCUUUUAAUCACCGGUUAAGAAUUUAUGAGAAAUAUCCCACGUUGAAAAGAUUAUCUCAAAGUGAUCCAAAAUCAAUUUCGAGUGCCACUAUCUAAAUAUUUAUAUAACUAUAUUAUAUCUACAAAAGACAGUCUUUACAAGAUAUAAAUAAAUGAAAUACAAAUAUAUAUAAACUUGUAACACAAUAUUUAUAUAUAUAUAUAUAUAUAUAUAUAUAUAUAUAUAUAUAUAUAAUAUUAAGAGAUUAAGUAAACUAAUGAACAAUUUUAAUAAACAUUUAUCUCAAUUUCUUCUUCACAAAAGUAACUUAGAAAUUUGGAAGAAAACUUUGAAAGCUUGUAGAGAGAAUAUAGGGUAUAACUUUCAUUCUUUUGUAAAUUAGUGAGUGAAAAGUAACGAAUUCCUAUUUAUAGAAAAACCAAGAGUUGGGGUAGGUUGGUCCAAAAAAUAUAUGGUUGAGGGACAUUACGGGCAAAGAGAGUAAAAUGAUUUUCUCUUUCUUCUAAUGGUGUAGCAUUUGAGUAACAAGGAGGGACGAGAGAGAAUUUUUUCUUCCAAUCUUUUCAUCUUUAAUAACACAUUGUCACGGCCUUGGAGAAUUCUAAAUCCCACCGUGCGGUCUUAAACAACAAUCUCCAUAGAAAGUUGUUAAGUUAACCUUUCACCAAGUUAAACAACACAAGAACUGGUAUGGAAGAUUCGAAAGGAACAAGAUAACACUUUAUUACACAAGAAAGCUUUACACAAGGAGGUUUGGAGAAUGCUUUGCUUAGGAUGGCCUCUGAUUGGAUUCUAUCUCAUUCGAUUCGAUUGUUUGGCCAAAUGAGGCCACCUCCUAUUUAUAGUCAUUCCACCCCUUCAAUGAAAGAUUCUAGAACCUACAAGUAACUUCUUAGAAAGUUAUAGGUACAAGCUUCUAGUUACAUACAUGUUCUACAAUUAUCUUGAGUAUUAUAGUAUCUUCCUAAAAUACUCCACAAGUUUUUCCAUUUAUCUAGAUUGUUCCACAACCAUG